RNAcentral lists this ribosomal RNA (395 nucleotides) under uncultured bacterium. Its description in RNAcentral is "bacterial SSU rRNA". It matches the Rfam family "Bacterial small subunit ribosomal RNA", at positions 30 to 429 of the family's 1533-position model. The record is from RNAcentral.
AUUGAACGCUGGCGGCAUGCCUUACACAUGCAAGUCGAACGGCAGCGCGGGGCAACCUGGCGGCGAGUGGCGAACGGGUGAGUAAUAUAUCGGAACAUACCCUAGAGUGGGGGAUAACGUAGCGAAAGUUACGCUAAUACCGCAUACGCACUAAGGUGGAAAGUGGGGGAUUCGCAAGAACCUCAUGCUCAUGGAGUGGCCGAUAUCUGAUUAGCUAGUUGGUGAGGUAAAGGCUCACCAAGGCAACGAUCAGUAGCUGGUUUGAGAGAACGACCAGCCACACUGGAACUGAGACACGGUCCAGACUCCUACGGAGGCAGCAGUGGGAAUUUUGGACAAUGGGGGCAACCCUGAUCCAGCAAUGCCGCGUGAGUGAAGAAGGCCUCGGUUGUAAG